CCGCCCGGGAGAGGAAGUCGGGGGCUAGAAGAUGGGCGGCCCUCACAAAACCUGACUGCUGUUUGCCUCUACUCAGGUUCAGUCAGUACUCAGAGGAUGUGGGCCCUUUAAAAAAAAGCAGCAGUGUUUGUUUGGCAGUUGCCCUUAUAUCAAAAGUGAAAAAACUAUUUCCUGCCUGUCCUGCUUCCCCAUUUCAUCAGCACCCAAGCCAAGGAACGGACCGGCCCGCCACCGCCAAGUGUUCGAGUGACAAAGAGGAGUAGAACGGGGAAAUGGUAGCUCCAGUUUCUGUGGCAGCGGGAACAUCUUAUCUGGGAGCCAAAAUGACCAUGAGUAAAGCUGGCUUGGAACUCACUGCAUGGGCAAUUGGUACCUCUGCUACAAUCACUUUGGGGAUCGUGAUCGUGGCAGUUGUAGCCGUUGCUUUCACAAGAAUUUGAAGACUGAUUGCACAAGAGCUCCUAAGAAUAUGAACUGACUACACAUCUCAGGUAUCCAUCCUCUCAGCAGAUAUGGACCUUGCCGCCUUGGCAGGCAUCAAUGACGGUGAAGCCUGCAGCUCCCUGAAACCAGGUCCUUAUAGGGAGGCAAAUAAAGAAAUAAACAAAUAAACAAAUAAAUCUCUGA
Long non-coding RNA from Ornithorhynchus anatinus (platypus), 627 nucleotides. RefSeq lists it as uncharacterized. The record is from RefSeq and is a predicted model, not a curated record. NCBI's taxonomy places the organism in Eukaryota, Metazoa, Chordata, Mammalia, Monotremata, Ornithorhynchidae. The transcript has 4 exons.